UGGCUUCCUGCAGGGCCACGAGCUGGGGGGUCAGUCUCCGAGGUUCUGUGCCACACAGCUACUAGUUUAAAUGAGGAAAAUUAAGUAAACCUUGCCCUGAGUAGAUUAAGAUGAGCCUUCAAAGUGUGUGAGCUCUCUUGUGGCCUUGCUGGGGGCUCUGGCAAUGGCCUAAGUGCUGGGCAGCACGGAAAAUAAGAAAAAUCAGAGUGCCCAGAAGAACUCACAGCAGAGCUGGAAAGAAAGGAGUAGAGCAGGCCAGGGGCAUUCUCUUCCAUUGCUGGGUGUUGCUGGACAGUGCCUGAAGGAAUCUGGCUCAGAAGACCACUGGCACAAAGGACUAGUUUUUCAAUGUCCACGUCCUAUAUCCUUCUUUGGGGUCCAUUACAGUGUCCUCCAUGAAGUGUUAACGUCAUUUCAGAAUCCCAAGCCUUUAAUCACUUGGUAAGGACUGGAGAAAGUCCGUGGAAAGUUCACACAGCACCAGAGCAAAUAGACUUUAACAGAGGUAUGCAUGAAAACAGAAUGCCCUUGAGUUCUUGGACAUCUUGUUGGGUGCUUGUUGCUUUGGGUGGUGCUCAGGGUAGUGAUGCAGUGUCUCUGGGGGGGGGGGGGGCUUACUUAUUACAGACGAUGACCUAAAAUCUGUCUUCCAGCCACCCAGGGGACCUUUCUUUCUGUGAUCAUGUCCUUAAAUCUGCCUUCCAGCCACCCUGAGGACCAUUCUAUGAUUAUGAAAUGAGACUUGGGAAGACACUCCUUCAAGACUCCUCCUGAGGGUUUAUGAGCCUAUCUAUAAUUGGAUAGGUUUAUCAUCAUUUAAAACUGAGAUUUGUGUUUGCUAUAUAUGAUAUUCGCUCACUGCACAAACAUUUUAGAGCCCUGGGCUAUGUUAAUAGUAUACAUUAGAGCUUUGAACUUGAAGUUCCUCAAAAAAAAAAAAA
Molecule: small RNA, 941 nt
Filed under: Mus musculus (house mouse)
Lineage: Eukaryota; Metazoa; Chordata; Mammalia; Rodentia; Muridae
Description: BMP responsive transcript
Source: RNAcentral